This 441-nucleotide ribosomal RNA is filed under the name uncultured bacterium. RNAcentral's name for it is "partial 16S ribosomal RNA". It matches the Rfam family "Bacterial small subunit ribosomal RNA", at positions 339 to 795 of the family's 1533-position model. The record is from RNAcentral.
CUACGGGUUGCUGCAGUGGGGAAUAUUGGGCAAUGGGCGCAAGCCUGACCCAGCAACGCCGCGUGAGGGAAGAAGGUUUUCGGAUUGUAAACCUCUGUCCUUGGGGACGAAGAAGUGACGGUACCCAAGGAGGAAGCUCCGGCUAACUACGUGCCAGCAGCCGCGGUAAUACGUAGGGAGCAAGCGUUGUCCGGAAUUACUGGGCGUAAAGGGUGCGUAGGCGGCAUAUUAAGUCAGGUGUGAAAUACUCGGGCUCAACCCGGGGGCUGCAUUUGAAACUGAUAUGCUUGAGUGUGAGAGAGGAAAGUGGAAUUCCUAGUGUAGCGGUGGAAUGCGUAGAUAUUAGGAGGAACACCAGUGGCGAGAGCGACUUUCUGGCUCAUAACUGACGCUGAGGCACGAAAGCGUGGGGAGCAAACAGGAUUAGAUACCCCAGUAGUC